AGGGGGGAAAGGAGCAGGGCAGCAUGGAAAAGAGUUUUCCCAUUGGUUCUCUGCCUUUCCCUCUCCCUCCAGAUGGUGCCACACAGUUGUGCCUCCCUGUGUCAUAUACCAAGUGUCACUAAGUGUCAUCAGUGAGCCUUGGGAAUGGACACAUAUGUAAAUGAGAAAUAUUUGUAUAUAGGUACAAAUUUCCUGUUCCAUGCUUGCCCCACCCCUUUCCUGUUAUCUCCCAUGUGCCUAACCCAGUUGGUCAUUCUAAGGUUUUUCCUUAUUUAUGUAACUUGUCUCUUUUGCCACUCAAGGACAAAAGUGCCAUGAACACAAGAUUUUCCUGUGUUGUGUUCACUGCUUCCUCCUCAGCACCUAGAAAGAUGCCUUGCACCCUACCAGACAGUCAAACUAUCUGAUGAAAACAUGAAUGCAUUGCUGUUGGUGGUCACCACAGAGAAGACAGGCAUCAAUAAUGGCAGAUUCCCUUGUCCUGGAGAAAGAGUGAGUGUGGGGCCCAUUUCUCUGAGUGGGCUCAUUCCCAGAGCCAGUCACAGGCUACUCCAAGUGUGAUUCCUAAAUAAUCUUCUCCUGCAUAUCUGGGAUACAAGCCCAAAUGUGUACCUACCUGCCAUGAGACCUUCGACAAGUUACUCACUUCUCUGUGCCUCUGGGACCUCACAGAUGGAAACAAGGACUGUCAGAGGUAUAGCAGAUAUGGUUGUUAGGACGAGAGAAAUUCAAGGAUGGGUAAUGGGUGGUAAGACCCUACUUGGUGUCAAACAUUCUUUGGGCAUGUUAUGCACUUUAUUUCUCUGGAUUUUCUGAACAACCACAUAGGUCGGAAAUAAUUGACCUCAUCUUCCAGUUGAAGCCCAAAGGCACUUAGGAAGUAUUUUUCCCUAGGGAACAAGCAUAUCUGUUUGAUUCAUUGGGCUGUUUCUUUCUCUUUCCAAUCUGGAGGAGGAUUUCCAGAGCUGGAGAUGACAGUGAGGAGAGAAGGAGGAGGAACAGGCAACUUUGAACAACAUUAUACUCGGAUUAGAAGCAACAGAAAUUGUGGAAAUACACCAAACUACCAAGAAGUACAUAAAACUCCCUUUGUGCUUCCAAAUGUGAGGAAAAGUGAACAUUCUGGCAUUCUUCCAUAUAAGAAUGCUUCUGUACAGAUACUACAGGUUCAUGUUCAUAAGAGCUGUCAUAGCUGACAUGGUAUGUGUGAGGUUGUGGUUUGUUAUUGUGGAGAUGGUGCCUUUGUCGCCGUCCCUGGCUUCCCCUCCUAGGAUGCGGGCCCCAGAAAUGGCAGGAGUUGCAGCAGCUGGUCCCCUGCAGCUUCCAGACUCAGCCAGACCCAGCCAGCAGCUUAGCCUUGCAACACCUCUCACCUGAGGGUCUUGGUGUGAGCCCCAGACACAGCUUGGACCCCUGCGGCCACCUCUCCCUCCAGCAGACAGAGAGGGAAAGGCCUCCAUAUCUGAGCUCCUGGAACCAGGGUCCCAGCUCUUCCCCCUGUUGGGGCUGAGAAUGUGCACCUUCUCCCCUCCUCUCCUGGCUCCUACUCAAAGCCUUUCCACCCUGCUGCCCCUUCCUCGGUGGGAGGUUGUAGGACAUGCUGUCCUGCUCCUGCCCUGCCCAGAGGCCCCACCUGUACCCACGCCCUAUCUGGACAGAUGGAGGAGAAGGCCAUGGACUUGAGGCCACAUUUGUCCCCUUUGUAGUCAGCCCAAUGUUGGGCUCACCUUGCCCCAGCAGGAGGACAGUGAAAGGGCAGGGGAUGUAGGGACAAAGAAAAUUAAAACGGACCCUUUCCCCCAACCAACCCAAAGAAAGUUCCCUGCAUUCGGCAAUAUCCCCUUCAACCAUUUCUGCCAACCUCAGAGAAGCACUUCCCUUGGCCCUGCUCAGCAGGGCGCACACCUGAGGGUGGGAUCAUCUGGUCCCAGGUGAGUCAGUGAGAGGAGGGAGACUCGCUUUGUUACAGGACUUCAUGCAGGAUAAAGGAAGUGUGUGAAGGAUGUCCAGUCACAUUUCUUCUGCAUGCGCCAGCACACCUGCCUCACUGCCAAGGCUGCAGGGGACAUGGGGUCUGGCUGAUUAGCUCCCCUUGCCUCAA
Molecule: long non-coding RNA, 2101 nt
Organism: Canis lupus familiaris (dog)
Lineage: Eukaryota; Metazoa; Chordata; Mammalia; Carnivora; Canidae
Exons: 3
Source: RefSeq, a predicted model, not a curated record